This 821-nucleotide ribosomal RNA is filed under the name Osteocephalus sangay. RNAcentral's name for it is "partial large subunit ribosomal RNA". It matches the Rfam family "Bacterial large subunit ribosomal RNA", at positions 1811 to 2925 of the family's 2925-position model. Lineage: Eukaryota; Metazoa; Chordata; Amphibia; Anura; Hylidae. The record is from RNAcentral.
AAACAUCGCCUCUUGAAUCCCUAUAAGAGGUCUAGCCUGCCCAGUGACUCUGUUCAACGGCCGCGGUAUCCUAACCGUGCGAAGGUAGCGUAAUCACUUGUCUUUUAAAUGAGGACUUGUAUGAAUGGCAUCACGAGGGUUAUACUGUCUCCUUUCUCUAAUCAGUGAAACUAAUCUUCCCGUGAAGAAGCGGGAAUAAAUAUAUAAGACGAGAAGACCCUAUGGAGCUUUAAACUCAGUAACAAAUACUAACCUUACUUUAACUUCCAGAACAUUAACACUAAUCUUAGUAUUAUGAUUAUUAGUUUUAGGUUGGGGUGACCGCGGAGUAAAAAUUAACCUCCACAUUGAAUAGGACCUUUCCUUGAGCUAAGAGCUACAACUCUAAACACCAACAAAUUGACAUUAAUUGACCCAAUAUUUUGAUCAACGAACCAAGUUACCCUAGGGAUAACAGCGCAAUCCACUUCAAGAGCUCCUAUCGACAAGUGGGUUUACGACCUCGAUGUUGGAUCAGGGUAUCCCAGUGGUGCAGCCGCUACUAAAGGUUCGUUUGUUCAACGAUUAAAACCCUACGUGAUCUGAGUUCAGACCGGAGUAAUCCAGGUCAGUUUCUAUCUAUAAAAGAGUUUUUUCUAGUACGAAAGGACCGAAAAAACAUGGCCCAUACUUAAUGCAAGCCAUAAUUAUUAACUUAUGACCAAAUCUUAAUAAGUACCUAAUCCACCACUUAACUCAAAAAAAGAGUAGUUAACGUAGCAUAACCUGGUAUUGCAAAAGACCUAAACCCUUUCUAUAGAGACUCAAAUCCUCUCGUUAAC